RNAcentral lists this ribosomal RNA (269 nucleotides) under uncultured bacterium. RNAcentral's name for it is "partial 16S ribosomal RNA". It matches the Rfam family "Bacterial small subunit ribosomal RNA", at positions 524 to 776 of the family's 1533-position model. The record is from RNAcentral.
UACAGAGGGCGCGAGCGUUGUCCGGAAUCACUGGGCGUAAAGGGCGCGUAGGUGGCCACUAUAAGGCCGUGGUGAAAGUUCGGGGCUCAACCCUGAAUCUGCCGCGGCGACUGUAGGGCUUGGGCACCGUAGAGGCAGAUGGAAUUCCGGGUGUAGCGGUGGAAUGCGUAGAGAUCCGGAAGAACACCGGUGGCGAAGGCGGUCUGCUGGGCGGUGAGCUCGCAAGAGCCGGCUGACACUGAGGCGCGACAGCGUGGGGAGCAAACGGG